Molecule: ribosomal RNA, 1966 nt
Filed under: human gut metagenome
Description: bacterial LSU rRNA
Rfam family: Bacterial large subunit ribosomal RNA
Source: RNAcentral
UUAAGCUAAUAAGAGCGCAGGGUGGAUGCCUUGGCACUAAGAGCCGAUGAAAGACGUGAUAAGCUGCGAAAAGCUUCGGGGAGGAGCAAAUAUCCGAUGAUCCGGAGAUAUCUGAAUGGGGAAACCCGGCUGGACAGACUCCAGUCAUCCAUACGCCAAUCCAUAACGUAUGGAAGGGAACCCGGUGAACUGAAACAUCUAAGUAGCCGGAGGAAGAGAAAACAACAAGUGAUUCUGUGAGUAGCGGCGAGCGAAAACGGAAGAGCCCAAACCGGAAUGCGUGCAUUCCGGGGUUCGGACCGCGUAAUUGAUCUGAUAAGUUUAGCAGAAUGGUUUUGGGAAAGCCAGCCAGAGAGGGUGAAAGCCCCGUAAGCGAAAGACGAGUCAGCAAGGCGGGAUCCAGAGUACCACGAGACACGAGAAACCUUGUGGGAAUGAGCGGGGACCACCCCGUAAGGCUAAAUACUCCUUAGUGACCGAUAGCGCAUAGUACUGUGAAGGAAAGGUGAAAAGGACCCCGGGAGGGGAGUGAAAGAGAACCUGAAACCCUGUGUUUACAAGCUGUGGAACAUCUUUAAAUGAUGAACCGCGUACUUUUUGUAGAACGGUCCGGCGAGUUACGCCAUCUGGCGAGGUUAAGUUCUUAAGGAAUGGAGCCGAAGUGAAAACAAGUCUUAAUAGGGCGUGAAGUCAGAUGGAGUAGACCCGAAACCGGGUGAUCUAUCCAUGUCCAGGAUGAAGUUGCCGUAAAAGGCAAUGGAGGUCCGAACCCACAUCCGUUGAAAAGGGUGGGGAUGAGGUGUGGAUAGGGGAGAAAUUCCAAUCGAACCCGGAGAUAGCUGGUUCUCCUCGAAAUAGCUUUAGGGCUAGCCUCGAUUUAGUCUUAUGGAGGUAGAGCACUGAAUUUCCGCGGGGGCGUCAAAGCUUACCAAAGAAUAUCAAACUCCGAAUGCCAUGUAGAUGAUGAACGGGAGUCAGACUGCACGAGAUAAGUUGGGCAGUCAAAAGGGAAAGAGCCCAGACCACCGGCUAAGGUCCCAAAGUGCGUGUUAAGUGGAAAAGGAUGUGGGAAUUCGAAGACAACUAGGAUGUUGGCUCAGAAGCAGCCAUACAUUCAAAGAGUGCGUAACAGCUCACUAGUCGAGAGUUCCUGCGCCGAAAAUGUCCGGGGCUGAAACACGACACCGAAGCCGUGGACUCGCAAUGCGAGUGGUAGAGGAGCAUUCUUAAAACCGACGAAGCUGUACCGGAAGGAGCAGUGGAGGGAUAAGAAGAGAGAAUGCCGGAAUGAGUAGCGAGAGAAAGGUGGGAAUCCUUUCGGCCGAAUAUCUAAGGUUUCCAGAGUAAAGCUGAUCUGCUCUGGGUAAGUCGGGGCCUAAGCACAGGUCGCAAGACGUAAGCGAUGGAUAACAGGUUUAGAUUCCUGUACCACGCAUUAUCAGAACUGUAGGGACGCAUGUGGAAAGCACGAGCCGGGAAUGGAAAGACCGGUACAAGCGAGGUAGGUGUACAAUAGGCAAAUCCGUUGUAUAAUCCGAAGACGUGAUGUGGAGCGAAAUAAAGUAGCAAAGCGUGUGAGCCAUGUGCCGAGAAAAGCUGCUAUUGUGUAAUGCGUGCCCGUACCGUAAACCGACACAGGUGGAUGAGGAGAGAAUCCUAAGGCCGACGGAAGAAGCAUUGUUAAGGAAUUCGGCAAAAUGACCCCGUAACUUCGGGAGAAGGGGUGCCUGCGAGAGCAGGCCGCAGAGAAUAGGCUCAAGCAACUGUUUAGCAAAAACACAGGUCUAUGCGAAACCGAAAGGUGAAGUAUAUGGGCUGACGCCUGCCCGGUGCUGGAAGGUUAAGAGGAGAGGUUAGCGCAAGCGAAGCUUUGAAUUUAAGCCCCAGUAAACGGCGGCCGUAACUAUAACGGUCCUAAGGUAGCGAAAUUCCUUGUCGGGUAAGUUCCGACCCGCACGAAAGGUGU